This 173-nucleotide ribosomal RNA is filed under the name uncultured Planctomycetota bacterium. Its description in RNAcentral is "uncultured planctomycete partial 16S ribosomal RNA". It matches the Rfam family "Bacterial small subunit ribosomal RNA", at positions 335 to 524 of the family's 1533-position model. Lineage: Bacteria; Pseudomonadati; Planctomycetota. The record is from RNAcentral.
ACUCCUACGGGAGGCAGCAGUAACGAAUCUUCCGCAAUGCGCGAAAGCGUGACGGAGCAAUGCCGCGUACAGGAUGAAGCCCCUCGGGGUGUAAACUGCUGUCAGGGUUCAGUAAGAAAGUGAACAAACCCAUAGGAAGGGCCGGCUAACUUCGUGCCAGCAGCCGCGGUAAC